UACGAAGGGUGCAAGCGUUGUUCGGAUUUAUUGGGCGUAAAGCGCGCGUAGGCGGACCUGUAAGUCAGAUGUGAAAUCUCGGUGCUCAACACCGAAACUGCGUCUGAAACUGCGGGUCUUGAAUCUUAGAGGGGGAGUGGGAAUUUCGCAUGUAGGGGUAAAAUCCGUAGAGAUGCGAAGGAACACCAGAGGCGAAGGCGCACUCCUGGACAAGUAUUGACGCUGAGGCGCGAAAGCGUGGGGAUCAAACAGGAUUAGAUACCCUGGUAGUCCACGCUGUAAACGAUGAGCACUAGAUAUUAUGGGAUUUGACCCCCGUAGUGUCGUAGCUAACGCGUUAAGUGCUCCGCCUGGGAAGUACGGUCGCAAGACUAAA
Molecule: ribosomal RNA, 376 nt
Filed under: uncultured bacterium
Lineage: Bacteria
Description: bacterial SSU rRNA
Rfam family: Bacterial small subunit ribosomal RNA
Source: RNAcentral